UACGUAGGGUGCAAGCGUUGUCCGGAAUUAUUGGGCGUAAAGAGCUCGUAGGCGGUUUGUCGCGUCUGCUGUGAAAACUCGGGGCUUAACCCCGGGCCUGCAGUGGGUACGGGCAGACUAGAGUGCGGUAGGGGAGACUGGAAUUCCUGGUGUAGCGGUGAAAUGCGCAGAUAUCAGGAGGAACACCGGUGGCGAAGGCGGGUCUCUGGGCCGUAACUGACGCUGGGGAGCGAAAGCGUGGGGAGCGAACAGG
RNAcentral lists this ribosomal RNA (253 nucleotides) under uncultured bacterium. RNAcentral's name for it is "partial 16S ribosomal RNA". It matches the Rfam family "Bacterial small subunit ribosomal RNA", at positions 524 to 776 of the family's 1533-position model. The record is from RNAcentral.